This 253-nucleotide ribosomal RNA is filed under the name uncultured bacterium. Its description in RNAcentral is "partial 16S ribosomal RNA". It matches the Rfam family "Bacterial small subunit ribosomal RNA", at positions 524 to 776 of the family's 1533-position model. The record is from RNAcentral.
UACGAAGGGGGCUAGCGUUGCUCGGAAUCGACUGGCGUAAAGCGCACGUAGGCGGAUCUUUAAGUCGGGGGUGAAAUCCUGGAGCUCAACUCCAGAACUGCCUUCGAUACUGGAGAUCUUGAGUCCGGGAGAGGUGAGUGGAACUCCGAGUGUAGAGGUGAAAUUCGUAGAUAUUCGGAAGAACACCAGUGGCGAAGGCGGCUCACUGGCCCGGUACUGACGCUGAGGUGCGAAAGCGUGGGGAGCAAACAGG